AACGCGAAGAACCUUACCUGGGUUGAACUACGUGGGAAAAGCCGCAGAGAUGCGGUGUCCUUCGGGGUCCACGAUAGGUGGUGCAUGGCUGUCGUCAGCUCGUGUCGUGAGAUGUUGGGUUAAGUCCCGCAACGAGCGCAACCCUUGUCUCUAUGUUGCCAGCGGGUAAAGCCGGGGACUCGUAGGAGACUGCCGGGGUCAACUCGGAGGAAGGUGGGGACGACGUCAAGUCAUCAUGCCCCUUAUGUCCAGGGCUGCAAACAUGCUACAAUGGCCGGUACAAAGGGCAGCUAAACCGCGAGGUCGAGCGAAUCCCAAAAAGCCGGUCUCAGUUCGGAUUGAAGUCUGCAACUCGACUUCAUGAAGCUGGAGUCGCUAGUAAUCCCGGAUCAGCAACGCCGGGGUGAAUACGUUCCCGGGUCUUGUACACACCG
This 434-nucleotide ribosomal RNA is filed under the name uncultured bacterium. RNAcentral describes it as "bacterial SSU rRNA". It matches the Rfam family "Bacterial small subunit ribosomal RNA", at positions 958 to 1392 of the family's 1533-position model. The record is from RNAcentral.